This 443-nucleotide ribosomal RNA is filed under the name uncultured Eubacteriales bacterium. RNAcentral's name for it is "bacterial SSU rRNA". It matches the Rfam family "Bacterial small subunit ribosomal RNA", at positions 338 to 795 of the family's 1533-position model. Lineage: Bacteria; Bacillati; Bacillota; Clostridia; Eubacteriales. The record is from RNAcentral.
CCUACGGGGGGCUGCAGUGGGGAAUAUUGGGCAAUGGGCGAAAGCCUGACCCAGCAACGCCGCGUGAGGGAAGAAGGUUUUCGGAUUGUAAACCUCUGUCGCAGAUGACGAAGGAAGUGACGGUAAUCUGUGAGGAAGCCCCGGCUAACUACGUGCCAGCAGCCGCGGUAAUACGUAGGGGGCGAGCGUUGUCCGGAAUUACUGGGCGUAAAGGGUGCGUAGGCGGUUAAUUAAGUUGGAUGUGAAAUACCCGGGCUUAACCUGGGGGGUGCAUUCAAAACUGGUUAACUAGAGUUCAGGAGAGGGAAGCGGAAUUCCUAGUGUAGCGGUGAAAUGCGUAGAUAUUAGGAGGAACACCAGUGGCGAAGGCGGCUUUCUGGACUGACACUGACGCUGAGGCACGAAAGCGUGGGGAGCAAACAGGCUUAGAUACCCCUGUAGUC